GCAAGGUGUUGCCUCCGUUGUACAUGCCCUGAAUAAACCUGGCAAGUGUACUUUGGACGAUACCCAUUAAUUCCCAUUCACAUUCCAAAUAGUAUUGGUGCCUCAUUUUCUCUCCGCAUCUGUCUUCUCUCCGUUUCUUUGGCUGCAUCGUCCUCGCCCGACGCCAUGUUUCCUCCAAGCCGCUAGUGAAUCCUGCCAGCACCGGGCGAUUGCUGCCAUCGUUAGUCUAUUUUCAAUAGCAACACAACCUUCCUCUUUCCUCCAUCAUCUCCUG
This 274-nucleotide long non-coding RNA is filed under the name Hordeum vulgare. Its description in RNAcentral is "long non-coding RNA (HVUL_LNC018738)". Lineage: Eukaryota; Viridiplantae; Streptophyta; Magnoliopsida; Poales; Poaceae. The record is from RNAcentral.